UACGGAGGGAGCUAGCGUUAUUCGGAAUUACUGGGCGUAAAGCGCACGUAGGCGGCUUUGUAAGUAAGAGGUGAAAGCCCAGAGCUCAACUCUGGAAUUGCCUUUUAGACUGCAUCGCUUGAAUCAUGGAGAGGUCAGUGGAAUUCCGAGUGUAGAGGUGAAAUUCGUAGAUAUUCGGAAGAACACCAGUGGCGAAGGCGGCUCACUGGACCGGCAUUGACGCUGAGGUGCGAAAGCGUGGGGAGCAAACAGG
This 253-nucleotide ribosomal RNA is filed under the name uncultured bacterium. Its description in RNAcentral is "partial 16S ribosomal RNA". It matches the Rfam family "Bacterial small subunit ribosomal RNA", at positions 524 to 776 of the family's 1533-position model. The record is from RNAcentral.